RNAcentral lists this ribosomal RNA (268 nucleotides) under Listeria monocytogenes. RNAcentral's name for it is "partial 16S ribosomal RNA". It matches the Rfam family "Bacterial small subunit ribosomal RNA", at positions 899 to 1169 of the family's 1533-position model. The record is from RNAcentral. Lineage: Bacteria; Bacillati; Bacillota; Bacilli; Caryophanales; Listeriaceae.
ACUCAUUGGAUUUGACGGGGGCCCGCACAAGCGGUGGAGCUUGUGGUUUAAUUCGAAGCAACGCGAAGAACCUUACCUGGUCUUGACAUCCUUUGACCACUCUGGAGUCAGAGCUUUCCCUUCGGGGACAUAGUGACUGGUGGUGCUUGGUUGUCGUCAGCUCGUGUCGUGAGAUGUUGGGUUAAGUCCCGCAUCGAGCGCAACCCUUGAUUUUUGUUGCCAGCAUUUUGUUGGGCACUCUUAAGUGACUGCCGGUGCAAGCCGGAGG